CUGGCCCUAAACGAUGACAACUAGCUUUUCGGAGUAUCGACCCUCUGAGAGGCGAAGCUAACGCGUUAAGUUGUCCGCCUGGGGAGUACGGCCGCAAGGCUAAAACUCAAAGGAAUAGACGGGGGCUCGCACAAGCGGUGGAUCAUGUGGUUUAAUUCGAUGCUAAACGAAAAACCUCACCGAGGUUAGAAAUGGAGACGAAUCUCAGAGGAAACUUUGAGAGCCUUCGGGCGGCUCCACAGGUGA
RNAcentral lists this ribosomal RNA (246 nucleotides) under uncultured bacterium. RNAcentral's name for it is "partial 16S ribosomal RNA". It matches the Rfam family "Bacterial small subunit ribosomal RNA", at positions 796 to 1041 of the family's 1533-position model. The record is from RNAcentral.